GGUCUAUGGCUCAGUGGUACACCACUUGCCUAGCAUGUAUGAGGCCCUGGGUUCAAUCCUCAGCACCA
RNAcentral lists this transfer RNA (68 nucleotides) under Marmota monax (woodchuck). Its description in RNAcentral is "tRNA.Ala". The record is from RNAcentral. Lineage: Eukaryota; Metazoa; Chordata; Mammalia; Rodentia; Sciuridae.